CCUACGGGAGGCAGCAGUGGGGAAUUUUGGACAAUGGGCGAAAGCCUGAUCCAGCAAUGCCGCGUGAGUGAAGAAGGCCUUCGGGUUGUAAAGCUCUUUUGUCAGGGAAGAAACGGUGCGGGCUAAUAUCCUGCACUAAUGACGGUACCUGAAGAAUAAGCACCGGCUAACUACGUGCCAGCAGCCGCGGUAAUACGUAGGGUGCAAGCGUUAAUCGGAAUUACUGGGCGUAAAGCGUGCGCAGGCGGUUUUGUAAGUCUGUCGUGAAAUCCCCGGGCUCAACCUGGGAAUUGCGAUGGAGACUGCAAGGCUAGAAUCUGGCAGAGGGGGGUAGAAUUCCACGUGUAGCAGUGAAAUGCGUAGAGAUGUGGAGGAACACCGAUGGCGAAGGCAGCCCCCUGGGUCAAGAUUGACGCUCAUGCACGAAAGCGUGGGGAGCAAACAGGAUUAGAUACCCUGGUAGUCCACGCCCUAAACGAUGUCUACUAGUUGUCGGGUUUUAAUUAACUUGGUAACGCAGCUAACGCGUGAAGUAGACCGCCUGGGGAUACGGUCGCAAGNUUAAAACUUAAAUGAAAUUGACGG
RNAcentral lists this ribosomal RNA (585 nucleotides) under uncultured bacterium. Its description in RNAcentral is "bacterial SSU rRNA". It matches the Rfam family "Bacterial small subunit ribosomal RNA", at positions 338 to 916 of the family's 1533-position model. The record is from RNAcentral.